RNAcentral lists this ribosomal RNA (274 nucleotides) under uncultured bacterium. RNAcentral describes it as "partial 16S ribosomal RNA". It matches the Rfam family "Bacterial small subunit ribosomal RNA", at positions 523 to 796 of the family's 1533-position model. The record is from RNAcentral.
AUACGGAGGGUGCGAGCGUUAAUCGGAAUUACUGGGCGUAAAGCGCGCGUAGGCGGUCAAAUAAGUCUGAUGUGAAAGCCCUGGGCUUAACCUGGGAAUGGCAUUGGAUACUGUUUGACUAGAGUGCAGGAGAGGAGAGUGGAAUUCCCGGUGUAGCGGUGAAAUGCGUAGAUAUCGGGAAGAACACCAGUGGCGAAGGCGGCUUUCUGGACAGUACCUGACGCUAAGCAACGAAAGCCAGGGGAGCGAACGGGAUUAGAUACCCCAGUAGUCC